CCAACAUCUUCUGUUAAUCUUAAAAACUAAGGAACACCAGUGGAAGAUUCCUCUGACAGUCUCCUAUCAGUGUGCUACCACUGGGAGGAACCAACUGUAAAGAAGGAGGAGAGUGCAUCAUCUAGAAGAGUCCCAGUGGAGAAGGAACUAAGGAGCCAAGAGAGAAAGUUCCUGCAAGGAAGUCCCGAGGACACCCAGACUCAGGACCACGUUGUGGAUAUGCUGGCAUAGCCACACAAGGUGAAUGAUCUCAGCAAGUACUAUGGAAGAGAGACCUUCUUGUUCAGAGACUGCUACAUCAAUUUACACGAAUUGAAAA
Molecule: long non-coding RNA, 319 nt
Filed under: Gopherus agassizii (Agassiz's desert tortoise)
Lineage: Eukaryota; Metazoa; Chordata; Testudines; Testudinidae
Description: lncRNA (ENSGAGG00000001095.1)
Source: RNAcentral